RNAcentral lists this ribosomal RNA (380 nucleotides) under uncultured eukaryote. Its description in RNAcentral is "partial 18S ribosomal RNA". It matches the Rfam family "Eukaryotic small subunit ribosomal RNA", at positions 592 to 976 of the family's 1831-position model. The record is from RNAcentral.
CAAUAGCGUAUAUUAAAGUUGUUGCAGUUAAAAAGCUCGUAGUUGGAUUUGUGGUGUACUUCGGCGGCCCGUCACUAUGUGAUGGAGCUUGCUGAAGUCGCCAUCCUUGGGUGGAUCCUGUGUGGCAUUAAGUUGUCGUGCAGGGGAUGCCCAUCGUUUACUGUGAAAAAAUUAGAGUGUUCAAAGCAGGCUUAUGCCGUUGAACAUAUUAGCAUGGAAUAAUAAGAUAGGACCUUGGUACUAUUUUGUUGGUUUGCGCACCAAGGUAAUGAUUAAUAGGGACAGUUGGGGGUAUUCGUAUUUCAUUGUCAGAGGUGAAAUUCUUGGAUUUUUGAAAGACGAACUACUGCGAAAGCAUUUACCAAGGAUGUUUUCAUUAA